GGUUAUGGCUCAGUGGUAUAGCACUUGCCUUGCAUGUGUGAGGCACUGGGUUCAAUUCUCAGCACCA
Molecule: transfer RNA, 67 nt
Filed under: Marmota monax (woodchuck)
Lineage: Eukaryota; Metazoa; Chordata; Mammalia; Rodentia; Sciuridae
Description: tRNA.Ala
Source: RNAcentral